CCUACGGGCGGCUGCAGUGGGGAAUAUUGGACAAUGGGCGAAAGCCUGAUCCAGCCAUGCCGCGUGUGUGAAGAAGGCCUUCGGGUUGUAAAGCACUUUCAGUGGGGAAGAAAGCCUUGGGGCUAAUACCCUCGAGGAAGGACAUCACCCACAGAAGAAGCACCGGCUAACUCCGUGCCAGCAGCCGCGGUAAUACGGAGGGUGCGAGCGUUAAUCGGAAUUACUGGGCGUAAAGCGCGCGUAGGCGGUCUGAUAAGCCGGUUGUGAAAGCCCCGGGCUCAACCUGGGAACGGCAUCCGGAACUGUCAGGCUAGAGUGCAGGAGAGGAAGGUAGAAUUCCCGGUGUAGCGGUGAAAUGCGUAGAGAUCGGGAGGAAUACCAGUGGCGAAGGCGACCUUCUGGACUGACACUGACGCUGAGGUGCGAAAGCGUGGGUAGCAAACAGGAUUAGAUACCCCGGUAGUC
This 465-nucleotide ribosomal RNA is filed under the name Vreelandella stevensii. Its description in RNAcentral is "partial 16S ribosomal RNA". It matches the Rfam family "Bacterial small subunit ribosomal RNA", at positions 338 to 795 of the family's 1533-position model. Lineage: Bacteria; Pseudomonadati; Pseudomonadota; Gammaproteobacteria; Oceanospirillales; Halomonadaceae. The record is from RNAcentral.